Long non-coding RNA from Fukomys damarensis (Damara mole-rat), 1142 nucleotides. NCBI's taxonomy places the organism in Eukaryota, Metazoa, Chordata, Mammalia, Rodentia, Bathyergidae. The record is from Ensembl.
GUGCGCUGGAAAAGAAUAAACAGGGCUAGGGCCAGGGAGAUGUGGAAGCCUUGAGUGGCACCGUCUUCCCUCCUUGCUCCACCUCGGGGCAAAGUGUUCUUAACUUGGCACUUCUUGUGCUGAGUCAGGGAAAGCAGCCGUGGACCGGGGUGGACCCUGAUCUUCGGUGGCAGGACGCUCCUGCUCUGAUCAAGCUUUCACACCUGAUUAGGGUGCUGGGUGAAGCGGGCAUGUGCAGGCUGGCGCCACACCACCAUGGGCAGCCCAGGAGCAAGCGUCCGUCCUGCUCCCAAGGGCCCCUGAGCCCAGGCCAGCGACAACAUGAGCAUCGGGAGAGCAUCCCAGACCUUAGAUGUCCACGGAGGCCAGCUCACACCCGUGGUCUGUAGGAGCCACCGUGCCCCGUGCGCCUGAGGGCCAGCAGGAAGCUCUGCCCACAAGGGGCCACACAGGGAGGCACCACUCCUGGAAGGCCGCUGAUGCCUCAGUCCAGUGCGGUCAGUUCCCGGGAAGGACUGUGGCCACUUGCAAGACUGCGUCCCAGUAAGCAGGCGCUGAGUGGAAAGACCCUGGAGUUGAAAGUGUGUUGAGCGUCCCAGCCUAGAUGUUCCAGACACUGUGCGUCCAGCUGUACCUCCAGUGAGUGCAGCUCCAGCGUUGGGCCACACGCCAUGCCCCAGCCCGGGAAGAUCAGCACCCCUGGACGCUUUCCACCGAAGGGUCCUCCGUGCCCCCUAACAGAAGGCACUUUAGGCCGUCUCACCCAAAGCCCCUCUGCACAGGGACUUAACCCCAUAAAUCUGCUGCACAAGAGGCUGGGAGAGGAGCCGUCCGAAUGUCCUCAGGGUUCAAGGCGGUUGUGGACACAGACCCUCCUUUGGGAGAGAUCCUGGCCUGCUCAAGCUGUGCUUUAUGGGCUCUGCUUGGUUCUGUCUCGCUUGGCCCGGUCUGGCGGUCCACAUCAUUUGACAGAUGGAUUGCACUUCCUGAGGUGGCCCAAAGGAGGAGUUGCCACCUCCCUGAAACAGCUUCCUCGCUGCCCCCAGCUCGCCAGGCCACGUGAUGGACUAAUGGCUGCCCAAGUGCAAUUUUGGAUAACGGCCCUUGGAAAAUAUCCAUCUCCAGCAGUGCUGUUUUCCUGA